This 491-nucleotide ribosomal RNA is filed under the name uncultured bacterium. Its description in RNAcentral is "partial 16S ribosomal RNA". It matches the Rfam family "Bacterial small subunit ribosomal RNA", at positions 28 to 506 of the family's 1533-position model. The record is from RNAcentral.
GGUGAACGCUGGCGGUAGGCCUAACACAUGCAAGUCGAACGGCAGCACAGUAAGAGCUUGCUCUUACGGGUGGCGAGUGGCGGACGGGUGAGGAAUACAUCGGAAUCUACUUUUUCGUGGGGGAUAACGUAGGGAAACUUACGCUAAUACCGCAUACGACCUACGGGUGAAAGCAGGGGAUCUUCGGACCUUGCGCGAUUGAAUGAGCCGAUGUCGGAUUAGCUAGUUGGCGGGGUAAAGGCCCACCAAGGCGACGAUCCGUAGCUGUUCUGAGAGGAUGAUCAGCCACACUGGAAAUGAGACACGGUCCAGACUCCUACGGGAGGCAGCAGUGGGGAAUAUUGGACAAUGGGCGCAAGCCUGAUCCAGCCAUACCGCGUGGGUGAAGAAGGCCUUCGGGUUGUAAAGCCCUUUUGUUGGGAAAGAAAAGCAGCAGGUUAAUACCCCGCUGUUCUGACGGUACCCAAAGAAUAAGCACCAGCUAACUUCGU